This 501-nucleotide ribosomal RNA is filed under the name uncultured bacterium. RNAcentral's name for it is "partial 16S ribosomal RNA". It matches the Rfam family "Bacterial small subunit ribosomal RNA", at positions 30 to 523 of the family's 1533-position model. The record is from RNAcentral.
AUUGAACGCUGGCGGCAGGCUUAACACAUGCAAGUCGAGCGGGGGAAGGUAGCUUGCUACCGGACCUAGCGGCGGACGGGUGAGUAAUGCUUAGGAAUCUGCCUAUUAGUGGGGGACAACAUCUCGAAAGGGAUGCUAAUACCGCAUACGUCCUACGGGAGAAAGCAGGGGAUCUUCGGACCUUGCGCUAAUAGAUGAGCCUAAGUCGGAUUAGCUAGUUGGUGGGGUAAGGGCCUACCAAGGCGACGAUCUGUAGCGGGUCUGAGAGGAUGUACCGCCAAACUGGGACUGAGACACGGCCCAGACUCCUACGGGAGGCAGCAGUGGGGAAUAGUGGACAAUGGGGGGAACCCUGAUCCAGCCAUGCCGCGUGUGUGAAGAAGGCCUUAUGGUUGUAAAGCACUUUAAGCGAGGAGGAGGCUACUUUAGUUAAUACCUAGAGAUAGUGGACGUUACUCGCAGAAUAAGCACCGGCUAACUCUGUGCCAGCCGCCGCGGUAA